RNA transcript from Pogoniulus pusillus (Red-fronted tinkerbird), 1877 nucleotides. It is a transcript of the gene named sideroflexin 1, with no coding region annotated. Lineage: Eukaryota; Metazoa; Chordata; Aves; Piciformes; Lybiidae. The transcript has 10 exons. The record is from RefSeq and is a predicted model, not a curated record.
CGGCCUUGCCCGGCCCUGCCCCGCCGGGGCGGAGCGAAGCGGAGCGGGGCGGCCCGAUCGCCUUCCCCGGCCCCUCGCCCGCGGCGCCGACCGAGCCUCUUCCGGGCAGCGGUGCUAGGGGCAACGCGGAGCGGGCAGCCGUGAACUUUUGAAGAUGUCAUCAGAUAUACCAUUAAAUAUUAAUAUCAAGGAGCCCCGAUGGGAUCAAAGCACUUUUGUUGGACGAGCCAAUCACUUCUUUACUGUAACAGACCCCAGGAAUAUUUUGUUAUCUGAUGCCCAGCUAGAAAAUGCAAGAAAAAUUGUGCAUGAUUACAGACAAGGUAUCGUGCCACCUGGCUUGACAGCAGAUGACUUGUGGAAAGCAAAAUACAUCUAUGAUUCAGCCUUCCACCCUGACACUGGUGAAAAGAUGGUCUUGAUUGGCCGAAUGUCAGCUCAGGUACCCAUGAACAUGACUAUCACAGGUUGUAUGAUGACCUUUUAUAGAACGACACCAGCUGUGGUUUUCUGGCAGUGGAUUAACCAGUCCUUCAAUGCCAUAGUGAAUUACACAAACAGGAGUGGUGAUGCCCCAAUCACUGUCAGCCAGCUGGGAACAGCCUAUGUUUCUGCUACCACGGGUGCUGUCGCAACAGCUUUAGGACUUAAUGCACUGACAAAGCAUGUUUCACCUCUUAUAGGACGGUUUGUUCCUUUUGCUGCUGUUGCUGCUGCUAAUUGCAUUAAUAUUCCUCUAAUGAGACAAAGGGAACUCAAGUUUGGAAUUCCAGUCACGGAUGAAAAUGGAAACAGAUUGGGUGAAUCAACAAAAGCAGCCGAGCAGGCAAUUACCCAGGUGGUUAUAUCAAGGAUUCUUAUGGCUUCUCCUGGCAUGGCAAUUCCUCCCUUCAUAAUGAAUACAUUGGAAAAGAGAGCCUUUUUAAAGUAACCACUAAAGAUGCCAUAAAGACAUCUGGAAAUUAAAUCCUAAUUCAUCGGGAACUGCCUUCUUCGGGAGCUAAAGGAUAGUUCUCUAACACAGUAAAUUCUUCUCCUGCAUUCUACUUCCUUUCAUCUCUUUGUGGGGAUGUACAGCUUGCAUUUGAGCUUUGCUUUAUUGUUUUACGUUGUGCCUUAGGCAACACUAGUAUUGACCUCCCAGUGUUAAAGAGUUUCUUUUCACCAACUUUCUUGGCUAGUACAGCCCAGUAACCUUCUGGAAAAUAAAAACUGUAACUCUGAUGAUACAUCUUGGCAAAAAAAUGUGCCACCACAUGAAAUAGAUGUCGUUUAUAUUGUUUCUACUAGCAGGCAGUUCUCCCUCUCUCCAAGAUUAGUGACUCACUCUGAUAAAGGCAUGAAAAUAUAGAUUACUUUUAUGAGACUCUCUAAAAGUCCUUUCAGUUAUAAAAUCAUGUUUGGGGCUUUUUUGGUAAUAAAUCUCAGGUCUCCAGCUUGCACUGCAAUGUGCAGCAUCCCUCUCCAUGCUCCUCAGAAGUCAUUUGCAGCACAGAGUUUGACUUGAGUUCUCAAAUACUGAUGUCAGUCUUAAUCCCUUGCAUGGUCAGUCACACCAUCUCUUCUGUCUCCCCAUGUAUCAAAUGUAAAGCAUUUGGAGUGAAUUUAUCUCAACUGAGGAUCAACAGAAGGUGUAUUCAGUGGAAUGCCAGAACAGCAGAACACUGCUUUGUUCACUCCUUACUUUUCUUGCUGGCGCUGUCUUUCUCCAUUUGUUAUCUAUGGUUGCAGGUUGUUGCUGAAUUGCACAGUUCUUCCUGCAGUCAUAUUUGGAUUACAGAUUGACCAGCAGUAGAACAAGGGGACACAGUCUCAAGUUGUGCCAGGAGAUUCCCUUGGAUGAGUGCUCCCAUUCAAGUUGGAUUAGUUGGAUUCUG